This 413-nucleotide unclassified non-coding RNA is filed under the name uncultured fungus. RNAcentral describes it as "partial contains small subunit ribosomal RNA, internal transcribed spacer 1, and 5.8S ribosomal RNA". The stretch from base 1 to 73 matches the Rfam family "Eukaryotic small subunit ribosomal RNA", at positions 1759 to 1831 of the family's 1831-position model. The record is from RNAcentral. Lineage: Eukaryota; Fungi.
UCAAACUUGGUCAUUUAGAGGAAGUAAAAGUCGUAACAAGGUUUCCGUAGGUGAACCUGCGGAAGGAUCAUCAUUGAAUAUAAUGUAUUUUCAAGCUUGGAAGGGGGGGAGGAGGAAGGGGGGAAAGGGAUGUUUCUCUUUCUCUCUUUCACUCUUUUGUUCUUCUGGCUUGCAAACAACUUUAAUACCCAAACAGAGCUUCGCCUAUCUUUAUCUUCAGCUUUUCAGCUCUCCGGCUCAUUUAUUUGAGCUGGUCGCUGGGAAGAGGGGGAGAGAGAGAAGGGGAACGGGGGAAACCCCAGAAUAACACAUGUAGUUGCCUGAUAAAAAAAAGAGUUUGGUUUUUGGGAAUGAAAAUUGAAACAACUUUCAACAACGGAUCUCUUGGCUCUCACAUCGAUGAAGAACGCAGC